UAUAUUUUAGUGUAUGAUGCACAUAAGUUUUUGAUACUUUUAGAGAUAGUUUGAUUCUAUUGAAUAUAA
This 69-nucleotide transfer RNA is filed under the name Rivellia apicalis. RNAcentral describes it as "tRNA-Gln". Lineage: Eukaryota; Metazoa; Arthropoda; Insecta; Diptera; Platystomatidae. The record is from RNAcentral.